This 473-nucleotide ribosomal RNA is filed under the name uncultured Glomus. Its description in RNAcentral is "SSU rRNA". It matches the Rfam family "Eukaryotic small subunit ribosomal RNA", at positions 569 to 1047 of the family's 1831-position model. Lineage: Eukaryota; Fungi; Glomeromycota; Glomeromycetes; Glomerales; Glomeraceae. The record is from RNAcentral.
CGCAGCCGCGGUAAUUCCAGCUCCAAUAGCGUAUAUUAAAGUUGUUGCAGUUAAAAAGCUCGUAGUUGAAUUUCGAGAUCAAAUUGUUGGUCGUGCCUCGGUACGUACUGGCAUUAUUGAUUUCUCCCUUCUGAAGAACCUUGAUGUCAUUAAUUUGGUGUCUUGGGGAAUCAGGACCGUUACUUUGAAAAAAUUAGAGUGUUUAAAGCAGGCUCACGCUUGAAUACAUUAGCAUGGAAUAAUGAAAUAGGACGUUUGAUUCUAUUUUGUUGGUUUCUAGGAUCGACGUAAUGAUUAAUAGGGAUAGUUGGGGGCAUUAGUAUUCAAUUGUCAGAGGUGAAAUUCUUGGAUUUAUUGAAGACUAACUACUGCGAAAGCAUUUGCCAAGGAUGUUUUCAUUAAUCAAGAACGAAAGUUAGGGGAUCGAAGACGAUCAGAUACCGUCGUAGUCUUAACCAUAAACUAUGCCGACU